Andrographis paniculata is the source of this 4981-nucleotide long non-coding RNA. RefSeq lists it as uncharacterized. The record is from RefSeq and is a predicted model, not a curated record. The transcript is spliced from 8 exons. Lineage: Eukaryota; Viridiplantae; Streptophyta; Magnoliopsida; Lamiales; Acanthaceae.
AUCAUUACGGGUCCGGGCCGGGCCGGGAGUAGGUUAUGCUCUUUGUUUUUGGCCACUUGCAGAUUUCGACUUGGAAACACGUAGCGAGUGUUGAACCUCAACAACCAUAUGGCGGAGCGGAAAAGAUCAUCAUGAUCAAAAGGCGAUACUGGAAUCGAGGAUAUGGAGGGGUUACCUGGACGCCGUCAAUCACACAACGAUCUCCUAUGUCGAAAGGAUGCAUCACGAAGACAAAGACAAUGGACUCAAACACAGUCUUGCACAUGUUCUGGAAUGUGAAUCCCAGGAGAAGCAACUGAGUAAGGAUGAAGGCUAUAAUUUUGGUGGAAGCAACUCCCAUGACCAUGAGCGUUUCUACUACAAUGAUCACACUGACAAUGGCACUGGCUAGUUUGUGAAGCUGCUGCACUGCUGUCUUUGUGUCGUUUAAGGAAUGCGCUAAGGAUUUUCGCUCGUAAUAAGCUCGAACCUACGAUUCACCAGAGUUACAAGGCUAUUCAAUCUGUCAUCAGAUGACUCAAGACACUUUGGAAUCAAUAAACACUUACCACCCAAUUUCUGAAAACGGAUUUGGUGAUCUUUCCGGUCUCCAGAGCACCCUCAAAGAGCGGAAAUAUUGUAUGAAUCUCCACUCUCUUCAAGAAUCUCAUCAGAUCUUCUUCCUCAAUGUACCUACAGAGCAGAGCCAGCAAAAAUGAAUUAACUCAAAGCUCCAACAAAAUUUGAGGCAUCGAGGGGGAAGCUUCUGUGAGUAAAAUUGUAGUAGCAUUAAUUUCUACAGCUCUAGUGGCAUUUAGACACGUGUGUCAAUGUGGUAAUGGAUUCCUUUGUGAGAAAUUAAAAUUAUAUGGACCAUAUAUAAUGUGCAUGUAUGAAGCUAGUGGCUAUCUUGUCUUUCUAAUCGAGGAAAUUUUCAGGGGACAAACGUAGUACGACAAGGUGGUGGGUUGACUCAUCAGGUGUUUCUUGACGUCAUGUUCAUAUCAGCGAAUAGUCAAUGCUUUUAUUCUUAUUGUGUAGGGUGGCUUUUAUGACUUUAAGUGACCUGUACGGAACAGGAAUAAUUACGCACGAUGUGUAAUGAAACAGCAUGUAGUGGGUGGGACAAAGUGCGCAUGCAGAAAUUUAUGAAAUGAGGUUUAUAUGGAAUGUAUGUUCAAUUGGGAGCUGUGGGUAUACCUUAAUUAUACUCUAAAGUGACUGGUGCAAUCAUUGUGUUUUCUUGAUUUAUUAGUAAAAUGAAUAGUGCCGGCAUUAUUAACCUAGCAUCCUAUGUAAACUUAAAUAAUGACAUGUCUGUAUGCAUGCAUAUAUUAGAUUAUAAUUAUAAUAAAUAAUUAAUGCAAUAAUAAUAAUAAUAAUAAUAAUAAUAAUUACUUGGCGCCUGGUUUGGCCACGUUCUUGAAGAUCCUCUUGGCGCAGUUCCUGGCUUCCCAUUCGCUACUGAUUUCCGACUCCUCCGUCCGGCCAAAUUCGUCCACCGUCCUUGAGAUCGUCGUCAAGCCGAACGAUCUCACGUAGCUCACAAGUCGCUUCACCGUCCACGCCGACGCCGUGCUCUGCAUGCUCAGCUUCCUCAGUUUCUCGAUGUCGAUUUUGCGCGUCGCCGAUCGCUUUGACAAGGAUAAAACCCUAGAUUGCCUCAACUUCGCCGGGAGCGAUUUCGAUGCCCCUAGGUUCCGCGAGUGCGCCUCCUCGUACGCCGCGUCGUCCAUCGGCGGACCUGACAGUGUCUCGAGGACGUAGUGGUGGAACACGCUCUCCUUCAUCCGGUCGAAGUAUGUCGCGACGUGGAAAGAGGAUGCCAGGACUUUGACGAGCACGAUUUUGAUCAGCCAGAUUGUUGCGCCGAUUUGGACCGCAAUUAGGGCGUGGAACACCUUCCUGAUCAAGGAGUUGUUCUUGUGGAGUUUGGCGUUGAAGAUGAAGAUCCAGGCGACGAGGACGAGCCCUAGCCACACGCAGUUCUGGAUGCUCUUGCGGAGGCCAUAGACGAAGUACAGAACCUUCUCUCGGAGCAUGAAGUUUCGUUCGAUGACGAAAGUAGCGAUUUUAAUGAUCCAGCCCGAGACGAGCCGGCCGCUGAAAAUCACGAGGAUCAUGAGACACCAUCGCCAUAGCUGGAGUCCACACUUGAGCUGGUGCUUCAGCGACGAAAUCGUCAUCGAGCAGAUCAAGCUUGUGGUAAUCAUCAGAAAUAGGAUCCACUCGAUCAAAAUCCUCCACCGGAUUCUGGGGACGCUUUCGAUUUCAUUGGAUUCAGGCACGGAUUUGUGGUUAGCAGCAGCUGGAAGGGAGAACUCCACGAACCGAGACUUUGGUUUCGAGAAGCUCAAACGACGUAGCCUCGAGACAUUUGAAGAAGGCUGCUUAUUGGUUUGAUCUUGUGAUGAUUCAAAUACCUACAAAUGCUACAGCAAGCUCGCAUGGCAUAUAUAGAAGAGCACUACAGGCAGGGCAAAAAUGGAAGAUCAGAUUGGAUCAAUAUCAUCCAGAAUUAGUGUACUGCAUGCAGCACAGGCACAAAACACAGUACCAGUGAUUAAGAUUUAAGCCUAGUGGGCUACAGUAGCAAGCACGUGGAUCAAAACUCAAUGGACAAUGGAAAGAGGUAAAAAGUGAAAAAGCUUUUGUGGGGUUCGACAAUUGUUUUCAAAGCUUCAGAGUCAAUGAUGGAGGAAAGAAAGCCUAACAGCAGUUUCAGUAGUGCGCAGAAUUUUGCUUGGAGGAUGAAUACCACAGUUUCCUCUGGCAGAUCAACAGCUUCUCUGUCUCCACGCCGAACUCCGUGUCUUCCUUUCGGCAACUCCAUCUUGUCCCCUUCGCAAUGGUUGCAACCGCGUCCACAAAGUAGCUGGAUUCCCGGAUGAUUGCGUACCCAUUAGGCCUGAGAAUACGGUCCAUCUCCAGCACAAUAUGCUUCAUUUCACACCUGCAGGGAGAAGUUCAAGUGAGAACUGAAGCAAGACAACAUAGUGUUGAAGUGAUGGCUACAAUGAAGCUGCUGCUGCUGCCUACCGGUGGCUUUCAGCUGUGAAAAGCCCGUCAAGAUGGAGGAGAUCGUAUGUUCGAGGAUAUGUCGAGAAAGCCUCACACCUAGCAAGAUUAUAUACACAUCGGUCAUCACACAAUCAAAAUGGUUCCGAUGAGCCCUCUAUCGUACACCACAGCAAGUGUGUUUGGAGCAUAUGACGAAACAACAUUCAUCACCCACAGGGGAUCAUCGAUCAAAGCUGCAGCAAAUCCUCCGUACAGAGUGUUCAUAUCCAUGACAUUUCUAAUCUUAUUCGUUCCUAGAGCUGGGAGUACCUUCUUGUAGUGCUUAACCCUCCUCUUCCACUUACUGUCGUCAUGCUUGAAAGUUCCAGCAUUGCCGUGAGAAUAAGCGACACGUUCAGGCGCAGCAUGCAGUCGUUCAGGCCAUUUCGGGAGAGACUUCAAUGCCACUUUUUUAAAACUCGGAUUAGGGGGAACAAGACAGGCCCGAAUUGGAGUGUACCAUCCAGAAUCAGGCUCGGCGCCAUCAUCACAUUUUGGGGGAUAAUUAUCCGGGGCCUCGAACUUCUUGUAGCAGGUAUUAGAAGAAGAUUUUUGCCAAACAGCAAUGUCAUCUUUCUUAUUAUACAAUUUGAAGCACAUUGAUGUCAGCAGUUCUUGCAGUUUCUCAUAGUUCAAUUUCUGCUCUUCAAUGGUUGUGUUCCAUCCCUUCCACCGAUUCUCAUAGUUUACAGGAGGGCCCGACAGCACCCAAAACCCCCCCGGCCGGAGAAUUCGACUCACCUCUAAAAGCUACAUGAUGACGAUCAUAUACGUUGGAGAAAGUCGAAGUUACCGAAUUCAGUCCAUGGAAUGAGGCAGCGCGAGCAGUGCGCGAUGUCGAAGGAGUUGGAAGGAAAGGGAAGUCUCUGCGUUGAAAUGAUGCCAAGAAUCGCAGGAAUCCCGCGCUCCAGGGCGAAUUGAACUUGAGCUUGAUGAUUAUCCCUCGGAGCAAGAGAGACUGUAAGAAUCCCUCGAUCCAGUAGGUCGCCUCCCCAGCUCGCAACCUAAACAGAUAUGGAGCAAGAAAAUGUUACAGAACAUUGCAGCAUGAAUUGAAGCAUGUAAGAAACGUCGACUCACCCCACAUCCGGUGUCAAUGGCAGUCCUUAUCGUGCCAUCUUUCAUUCCCGGGAUCAAAUCCUGCAUCAGGUCGACGUAAUGGCUGACGCCGUCUGGGAACAUAGUGCCGCCUCCAGGGAAGAUGAACUUGUCCCCUUCUUUCUUCAGCCAAUGUUGAUUCGACUUCUGUUUGUUGAUCCAAUCGUAGGGAACGUUCCUGAGCACACAGACAACAAGUCAUAUGUUGCUGCAACAUGUGAAAAACAGAGCUCUGUUUUUUGAAGACAAGAAUUCUGUCCAUACCUGUACCAACAUUCGUCUUUGCUCUUCGGCCAUCUGAUCGGUUCCUUGUAGCCAUCGGGAGGGGGGACUAAGCAUUCUUUCUUUUCGAACACCGGAGGGCAGUGGCGCUCCAUGUAAGAAAGCCUAUGAGCACUGAACUUCUUCCACCUCUGCAGCAAUGAAAAUAGCGUCGUCGCGUUAUUUUUAUUACAUCGCACAACCUUAAAGCGCGACAUAAGUUGCAGAGGAUCGAUUCGAUCACCUUAGGAUCGGUGCAUGGAGUGUGAUCCUGAAACUCCGGUCCGCAUUCGGGGAAGUUCACAGCCUUGAUUUGCAGGGGUCUUACAAUGUUUGGCUUUGAAGUUUCGACAGCUUUCGCAUUGUCCCGAGCUACAUAUUUGUCCUUCUCAGAACAAAAGAUUGCACCAAGAUAGAAAGAGAAUCCACACAAGACAAAGAACAUUAUGGCCAUAGGUAUUCCUCUGGAACUCUUAUCCACUUGCAAGAAAGUUUUGCCAUUGUUCUUCAUCAUGCUGACCUUCCCCUAAAAAGCUGCAAGAAAUGAAUACGAAAUCAAGAUUCUAGUAUUUUUACCAAUCAA